CAAUAGCGUAUAUUUAAGUUGUUGCAGUUAAAAAGCUCGUAGUUGGAUUUCGGAUGGGACUUGCCGGUCCGUCGUUUCGAUGUGCACUGGCCAGUCCUAUCUUGUUGUCGGGGACUAGCUCCUGGGCUUCACUGUCCGGGACUAGGAGCUGACGAGGUUACUUUGAGUAAAUUAGAGUGUUCAAAGCAAGCCUACGCUCUGAAUACAUUAGCAUGGAAUAACACGAUAGGACUCUGGCUUAUCUUGUUGGUCUGUGAGACCAGAGUAAUGAUUAAGAGGGACAGUCGGGGGCAUUCGUAUUUCAUUGUCAGAGGUGAAAUUCUUGGAUCUAUGAAAGACGAACUUCUGCGAAAGCAUUUGUCAAGGAUGUUUUCAUUAA
Molecule: ribosomal RNA, 379 nt
Filed under: uncultured eukaryote
Lineage: Eukaryota
Description: partial 18S ribosomal RNA
Rfam family: Eukaryotic small subunit ribosomal RNA
Source: RNAcentral